AUUGAACGCUGGCGGCAGGCUUAACACAUGCAAGUCGAGCGGAGAUGAGGUGCUUGCACCUUAUCUUAGCGGCGGACGGGUGAGUAAUGCUUAGGAAUCUGCCAUUUAGUGGGGUACAACAUUCCGAAAGGAAUGCUAAUACCGCAUACGUCCUACGGGAGAAAGCAGGGGAUCUUCGGACCUUGCGCUAAAUGAUGAGCCUAAGUCGGAUUAGCUAGUUGGUGAGGUAAUGGCUCACCAAGGCGACGAUCCCUAGCUGGUCUGAGAGGAUGAUCAGCCACACUGGAACUGAGACACGGUCCAGACUCCUACGGGAGGCAGCAGUGGGGAAUAUUGCACAAUGGGGGGAAACCCUGAUGCAGCCAUGCCGCGUGUGUGAAGAAGGCCUGGGUUGUAAAGCACUUUCAGCGAGGAGGGAAGGGGUUGGGUAGCUAAUAACUGCCAGCUGUGACGUUACUCGCAGAAGAA
RNAcentral lists this ribosomal RNA (468 nucleotides) under uncultured bacterium. RNAcentral's name for it is "bacterial SSU rRNA". It matches the Rfam family "Bacterial small subunit ribosomal RNA", at positions 30 to 489 of the family's 1533-position model. The record is from RNAcentral.